UAAUUUUUCCUGACCACAUAGUAUUAGCUAAUAGAUGACCAUACAAAUCCUUCUAAUUAUUUCUCACCGCACAAUGCUUUCUAUUUUUUCUCUAACCGCAUAGUGUCUUCUAAUAAUAGACCAUUUUUCCACUAUAAAUAUGUCUACUCGUCACUGUAUCUCGUCACUUCAUCAUAUCUCUUUUGCUGGUACUCCUUUGCGCUCCUUGUGCUCCUUUUGUAUGGCUGCAUGCUCGGAAUGCUCCCAACCCAGAAACUUGUGCACCCGACCAUCUAGAUAUUGUACAGAGUUUUCUGUCAAGAUGUUGCCAGAAGAUUUCGAACAAUAUUCUAUUCUCCCUUGCUGUUACUAUACAAGGAUUAAAUUUUUAUGCCCAUCAUGAAAGUUGUAGGUAGACCAGCUCCCCACUUGGAGGCACCUGAUGAUGACUUCACAACACAUCAUCUAUUAUUGGAUGAUUGCGAUACAUACUUUUCAAUAGAAGGACCAUAUUAUUUGUCCUUGUUAGAAGCAUUUCGUAUCACUGCUGGAGAUACAAUAAAAUUUUCAUAUGAUGAAGAUGAAGACAUCUUUAAUGUCUCCGUCCAUGUUGGAAUAGAUCAACCAAAAUAUUGGUUUGGAUUCCCUGAAUGCAAUAACCUACCCGCUGAUUGUGAAGAAGCGCUCUAUAGUACUUUUUUCAUGGAAGCAACGGAUGUUUCCCAAGCAGAAAUGAACAGACUAGUCACUCGUUAUAGGGAGUAUAUGAGGAGUCUGGAUUAUCAUAACAAUGAACCUAAUUUCAUUAUUCACAGGCUUGUGAGUAGUGAAUACGCCUGUUGGGUAGUUCCAAUCGAAGCUUUCAAAAGUAAUGUUGUUCUACCAAGGAAGGGCGAUUCUAUUUAUGCAUACAAUCAAUAUUCUGUCCAAGGAACAUACAAAAUAAGAGAUGAUGGCACUAUCAUUUUCCUUGAACACUGGGCUGAUUUACGGGUGGACAAUAGUAUAUUCCCAGGAGACUUAUUCAUUGCCAGGGUGGUGGCAAAUAGAAGUUAUAUAGGACUGGAUAUUCAUAUUAUUUAGGAAGACAAGGAUUUUUCUAUUUAUAAUAGUAGUUUUUUCUCUACUUUUUUGUAAUAAUUUUUUAUCUUUUUUUAGUGUUGUAUUUCAAGAAGAUUGGUAUUUUUAUUUCUCCAACUUGUAAUAAUUUUUAUUUACCUUUCUUCAUUAAUUUAUUCUGAACACUAUGUUUGUUUGCUUCACAA
This is a long non-coding RNA of Lolium perenne, 1244 nucleotides long. RefSeq lists it as uncharacterized. NCBI's taxonomy places the organism in Eukaryota, Viridiplantae, Streptophyta, Magnoliopsida, Poales, Poaceae. The record is from RefSeq and is a predicted model, not a curated record.